Molecule: ribosomal RNA, 301 nt
Filed under: uncultured bacterium
Lineage: Bacteria
Description: partial 16S ribosomal RNA
Rfam family: Bacterial small subunit ribosomal RNA
Source: RNAcentral
CAGCAGCCGCGGUAAUACGUAGGGUGCGAGCGUUGUCCGGAAUUAUUGGGCGUAAAGAGCUUGUAGGCGGUCUGUCGCGUCUGCUGUGAAAACCCGAGGCUCAACCUCGGGCCUGCAGUGGGUACGGGCAGACUAGAGUGCGGUAGGGGAGAACGGAACUCCUGGUGUAGCGGUGGAAUGCGCAGAUAUCAGGAAGAACACCGAUGGCGAAGGCAGUUCUCUGGGCCGUAACUGACGCUGAGAAGCGAAAGCGUGGGGAGCGAACAGGAUUAGAUACCCCAGUAGUCCCUGUCUCUUAUAA